GGGCACAUAGCUCAGCUGGUUAGAGUGCUGCCCUCACAUGGCAGAGGUCAGAGGUUCGACUCCUCUUGUGCCCA
RNAcentral lists this transfer RNA (74 nucleotides) under Candidatus Omnitrophota bacterium. RNAcentral's name for it is "Candidatus Omnitrophica bacterium tRNA-Val". It matches the Rfam family "tRNA". Rfam says of the family: Transfer RNA (tRNA) molecules are approximately 80 nucleotides in length. Their secondary structure includes four short double-helical elements and three loops (D, anti-codon, and T loops). The record is from RNAcentral. Lineage: Bacteria; Pseudomonadati; Candidatus Omnitrophota.